GAGAAGAACGUAGCGAAAUGCGAUAAGUAAUGUGAAUUGCAGAAUUCAGUGAAUCAUCGAAUCUUUGAACGCACCUUGCACCCUUUGGCAUUCCGAAGGGUAUGCUCGUUUGAGUGUCAUUGUACUCUCACACUUCCAAUCUUUGGAUUGGGGGCGGUGGACUUGGGUGUUGCUGCUUACUGUGGCUCACCUCAAAUUGAUUCGUGCACCUCUUGGUUGGACAUAGUACGGCGUGAUAAGUGUCUUCGCCGGCACCUCAGUAGAGGGUGGCUGAUCGGGAGCUCUGUGCUUCAAACCGUCCUCGGACAACAACUGACAACUUGACCUCAAAUCGAGUAGGACUACCCGCUGAACUUAAGCAUAUCAAUAAGCGGAGGA
RNAcentral lists this unclassified non-coding RNA (378 nucleotides) under soil metagenome. RNAcentral's name for it is "partial contains 5.8S ribosomal RNA, internal transcribed spacer 2, and large subunit ribosomal RNA". The stretch from base 3 to 119 matches the Rfam family "5.8S ribosomal RNA", at positions 38 to 154 of the family's 154-position model. The record is from RNAcentral.